UACGUAGGGGGCAAGCGUUGUCCGGAAUCAUUGGGCGUAAAGCGCGCGUAGGCGGCCCGGUAAGUCCGCUGUAAAAGUCCAGGGCUCAACCCUGGAAAGCCGGUGGAUACUGUCGGGCUAGAGUCCGGAAGAGGCGAGUGGAAUUCCUGGUGUAGCGGUGAAAUGCGUAGAUAUCAGGAGGAACACCGGCGGUGUAAACGGCUUUCUGGACCAUAACUGACGCUGAUGCACGAAAGCGUGGGUAGCAAACAGG
This 253-nucleotide ribosomal RNA is filed under the name uncultured bacterium. RNAcentral's name for it is "partial 16S ribosomal RNA". It matches the Rfam family "Bacterial small subunit ribosomal RNA", at positions 524 to 776 of the family's 1533-position model. The record is from RNAcentral.